UUCCUGAAGCUUUUGAGUUGUUUACUUUGUGCCUUUUCUUUAUCUGCCCUUUGGAACAUCCUGGGCCUUAACUUAAUACUGUCCCUGUAGAGUGGAAGUUUUACCUCUUUUUAGAGCAUCCUGAGUCUCAACCAGAUUCUCUGCAGGAGGGAAUGUAUCAACUGGGAGGAAAUUGCCACACAACAGAGGGUAGUUGGGUAAAGCGGGGUCCUGCACAGCCUCCAGGAUGAAAGAGCUGGAAACCUUCUUGCAACAACUUCCAGUGAGACCAGCUCAAAACCUUUGAUUCCAGGUGAAAACCAAAUCACCGGCCUCGGCUCAGAUGGCACGGAUCCGUUCCUUCACAGCCAUUUUUUUCUGAACAUAAGCAGGCUGCAUUUAAAACUCCCCAGCUCAUCCGUCUUCAUUUGAGGACUGGGUUAAAAAACAAAAUUAAUGAUUGCUAUCAGCGAGACGACGAGCAGCAUCUUUGGUGAAAAGUAGAUCUGCCACGAUUGUCCAAGGCUGACAUCUUUCACCAGCUGGAAAUGGCUGGAUGUACUUGUAAACAUUAUUAAAAAUAAUAAC
Mesocricetus auratus (golden hamster) is the source of this 567-nucleotide long non-coding RNA. RefSeq lists it as uncharacterized. The record is from RefSeq and is a predicted model, not a curated record. NCBI's taxonomy places the organism in Eukaryota, Metazoa, Chordata, Mammalia, Rodentia, Cricetidae. The transcript is spliced from 3 exons.